RNAcentral lists this ribosomal RNA (385 nucleotides) under uncultured soil bacterium. Its description in RNAcentral is "bacterial SSU rRNA". It matches the Rfam family "Bacterial small subunit ribosomal RNA", at positions 26 to 429 of the family's 1533-position model. The record is from RNAcentral.
AGAACGAACGCUGGCGGCAUGCCUAAUACAUGCAAGUCGAACGAACACUUCGGUGUUAGUGGCGCACGGGUGCGUAACGCGUGGGAAUCUGCCCUUGGGUUCGGAAUAACAGUUGGAAACGACUGCUAAUACCGGAUGAUAUCGAAAGAUCAAAGAUUUAUCGCCCAGGGAUGAGCCCGCGUAGGAUUAGCUAGUUGGUGAGGUAAAGGCUCACCAAGGCGACGAUCCUUAGCUGGUCUGAGAGGAUGAUCAGCCACACUGGGACUGAGACACGGCCCAGACUCCGUACGGGAGCAGCAGUAGGGAAUAGUUAGGACAAGUGGGCGCAAGCCUGAUACCAAGAAUCGCCGCGUGAGUAGAGUGAAGGCCGUUAAGGGUUAGUAAA